GCCCUCUCAGGAUCACACUUGGAGAGUUUCCAGGCCUCUACCAGUCUCGGCUGUGGGAGGGAGAGUCAAGCAGAGGCCCGUCCAUUCCAUUCCUAGUUUGGGCAGUGGCUAGUGAGUGGGAGGUCAUCUACUACAAAG
This is a small nucleolar RNA of Ornithorhynchus anatinus (platypus), 138 nucleotides long. The record is from RefSeq and is a predicted model, not a curated record. NCBI's taxonomy places the organism in Eukaryota, Metazoa, Chordata, Mammalia, Monotremata, Ornithorhynchidae.